This 385-nucleotide ribosomal RNA is filed under the name uncultured bacterium. RNAcentral describes it as "bacterial SSU rRNA". It matches the Rfam family "Bacterial small subunit ribosomal RNA", at positions 30 to 416 of the family's 1533-position model. The record is from RNAcentral.
AUUGAACGCUGGCGGCAUGCCUUACACAUGCAAGUCGAACGGUAACGGGCCUUCGGGUGCCGACGAGUGGCGAACGGGUGAGUAAUGCAUCGGAACGUACCUUUCAGUGGGGGAUAACGUAGCGAAAGUUACGCUAAUACCGCAUAUUCUGUGAGCAGGAAAGCAGGGGAUCGCAAGACCUUGCGCUGAUUGAGCGGCCGAUGUCAGAUUAGCUAGUUGGUGAGGUAAAGGCUCACCAAGGCGACGAUCUGUAGCGGGGUCUGAGAGGAUGAUCCGCCACACUGGAACUGAGACACGGUCCAGACUCCUACGGGAGGCAGCAGUGGGGAAUUUUGGACAAUGGGGGCAACCCUGAUCCAGCCAUGCCGCGUGAGUGAAGAAGGCC